Non-coding RNA from Pocillopora verrucosa, 437 nucleotides. The record is from RefSeq and is a predicted model, not a curated record. Lineage: Eukaryota; Metazoa; Cnidaria; Anthozoa; Scleractinia; Pocilloporidae.
CUUUGCUCUACAACAGAGCUUUCGAGUCUUUCUUGGUACUUUCUCAGUCUUGGUGACUUACUUUGAAACAUUUCUAUGACGGAUUGAGGAAUCAAGGUCGUAAAUCAGUCAAACGUGCCUUCCAUUUCCGCGACAGAAGUAAGAACGCAUGGUUGAAUCAGAUUUGUGAAUAUAAGGCCAGGAUGACUUAAAACAGCAACUUUUUGUAAGAAGCAUCCCCUUACAGUUGCUAUGGCUAAAGAAAGAAGUCCAAUUAAGGUUCCAUCUGAAAAUGAAGACUUACCUGACAAAGAAAAUGCUCCAGAUUUUGACAAGGACACUUUACAAGCCACACCUGAUGUUUAUAGGAAUCAGGGUAAUGAGGCCUUCAGGAAAGGAGAUUUCAUCAAUGCUAUUCAUUUUUACACCAAAGGAAUUAAAAUGAACUGCAAUGAGAA